RNAcentral lists this long non-coding RNA (4293 nucleotides) under Cottoperca gobio. Its description in RNAcentral is "lncRNA (ENSCGOG00000007367.1)". The record is from RNAcentral. Lineage: Eukaryota; Metazoa; Chordata; Actinopteri; Perciformes; Bovichtidae.
GUGAUUGAGGAGGAUCCAGAGGUGCUGGAGGAGGAGGAGGAGGAGGAGGAGGUGGCCCCUGCAGAGGAGGCAUGUUGUUUUUGUUAUCAUACAUUACAUCAUAAUUGCUUAUUGGUUUCUUAUACACUGCUACGCCUGCAAAGUGAAAUGUCUUUAUCUUGGUGUUUGGUAUGAUGAAGGGAGAAUCAUCUCUUAACCUCCCUGCAGAAAACAAAAGAUUAGCACAGCCUAAGAUUAAUGAGUGUAUGCUCCAGUUCCAAUGCCUACCUGUGCCACCUAUUAGAAAGGAAUGCAGCAGGAAUUUAGUCAUGCAAAGUCAAACAUGUUUUAAAGGUGCCCCCCCUGCUGGUAAAGCAAGUAUGUAGCACUUAAAAUGAUUUUCACUUAUUUGAAGAUUCUUGCUGUUCCGAGUUGUAUCCUCAUGAUUGUUUGCAUGUAUAAGUCGCUUUGGACAAAAGCCUCAGCUAAAUGUAAUCUAAACAGUGAUACACCUACAAUUUGUUUCUUUUUUUUUUAUAGCUGCUUUUUGUGCAUUACUCAGGAUUUCCAUCCUACUUGACACGCAGUUAAAAUGAAAAAGCACUGUCUUGGGACAACUGCUGGUAUAAAUAUUCAUUUCAGACAUUUUUGACUGUUGGACCUCCAUGAUUACAAAAAAUGCAGUAAAUUAGAAAUUAAUCAAUUGUAAGUUUAAUAUAUAGAUAUACAAGCAGUAUGCAUGAAGAUAGAAGAGGUUUCCCUCAUGCAGGUAUGAUUUAUUUAUUUUUUGUGACCACUACUAAAUUAUUAGAUAAUUAAUACAAAAGAACAUCCUUAUUGCACACGCCCCCCAAAAAAAUACAAAACAUAAUCAAACCUUUGACAAUGUUGCUUGAUUUAGGCUGAUCCAGUUGAAGAGAUUAUGGCAGACCAGCCUGAGGAGGAGGCGGCAGCAGCUGAAGAGGAAACUGCAACAGAGCAAGCUGUGGAGGAGGAGGAGGAGGAGGAGGAGGCUGCUGAAGAGGCUGUGGAGGAACUUGUAGCAGAGGUGGAGGCAGCAUUCCAGGACACAGAGGAGGAGGAGGAGGAGGCUGCUGAAGAGGUGGCUUCAGAUGUUGAGAUGAUAGAGGAAGACAUUGCUCCUGCAGAAGAAGCUUUUGAGGAGCCUGCUGAUGAGGAGGCAGCAGAAGCUGAUGAGGAGGCAGCAGAAGCUGAUGAGGAGGCAGCAGAAGCUGAUGAGGAGGCAGCGCCUUCAGAAGAGGCAGCGCCUUCAGAAGAGGCAGCGCCUUCAGAAGAGGCAGCGCCUUCAGAAGAGGCAGCGCCUUCAGAAGACUCUUUUGAAGAAGAGGCUGCUCCUUCAGAAGAGGCUGCUUUUGAAGAAGAGGCUGCUUUUGAAGAAGAGGCUGCUUUUGAAGAAAAGGCAGCUCCUUCAGAAGAAGCUGAGGAGAAGGCAGACGACACGGAGGAGACUCCAGAAGAAGUAGAGGAGGAACAAAGAGAACCAGUCACAGAGACGGAAGUAGCUGAUGAAGUAGAGGAGACGGCAGAAGAAGUUGCUGAGUUGGUUGAGACUGAGGAACAGAUUCAGGAUGAGCCCACAGAAACGUAGAGGCUGCCGCAGUUGUCGUGGUGACGGAGCAGGGACCCACUGACCUUGCAUUAGCACCAUCUGAGCGUGCUCAGAGCGAUGAUGCACCUCUCCACCUCCAGAGAAACAAUUGAGUCAUUGUGACAACACUCUCCCCCUCCCUCUGUUUUCACACCUUCCAUUAAAGCUUCCUUUUGUGUGUUAAUGUGAGAUAAUGGAUGGAUUGUAUACUAAUAUGAUACUCCCCUUUUUACCCUUUUUCCUUUUGAAUCACAAUUAUUUCUUUCUUUAAGUAGAACAUCCAUUCCCAUUUUUGUUCUGGGUGAUUUAGUGUGACUGUGGCCAGAAGGUCAGGCAUUGUGAACUCUGUGCUCUACCUGCAGCCAGUAUACCGGAGUCUGAUCUGCAAGAGCUGGAACAUUAAACCGGGCUGGAGCUUUGUUUUGAAGUCCUCUCAGUGAUGUAGUUUGGCUUCCUGGAGCUGAAUUAUGUUGCUAAGUAAACUGAGGUUCAUAGCUGAGCCAGUAUUUGGCAGUUCGAAGUCAGUCUCGGCGUUAGAAGAUCCAGGUUUAUACAGUGAGGUGACUUUGUAGGUUUAGAAGCUUCUCAGAUUGAAAAUGUAAACAAAACUCUUGCUCUGAACACUGCAAAAUGUUUCCCUCCUGCUGAUAAAAAAUCUCCUUGAUGGUGGUAACGAAACAUAUUUCAAAUUUAGUAAUGAAACUAAUACUGUAACGAUCUGCACCUCGAUCGCAGGGUAAGUUCAGAAUUUAAAUAACAUUCCAUUCAGCUGUGUUUAGUUCUGGUCACAGUGUUGUAGAUUCUAUGCAAAGCUGUUGUGAUGUCUGUCACCCACUCCCUCACCCCUCCUUUCCCAGCCAGUUUAUUUACCACUCGGUGUGUGUCGACUCCAGAAUGAGCCGUGUGCUAGCAUGUGAAUUCAGAGAAAUCUUGUGUGCAUUUGUGUGUGAGAGCAUGUUUGCGGAUGUAUUCCUUAUGUAUCCCAUAAUGUUCUUGUGUUGACGAGUCUCUUUUACUAAUCGGACCUUUCUGUGAGCCGUUAAUGUCAUGAAGUAGUUUUUGAGACCGUUCAACUUUUUUUUUCUUGUUUGUUCUUUGUGUCUGUGUUCUGUAGAAUCCUAGUUCUUUUAUCUUCAUAUUUUCAGAUGAGAGUAUAAAGACCAUCUAUCUAGACUAUCGAAUAAUUUCUAGUAUGAAGUUGUAACUUUAAACUUCAGCUCAUUAAGUUUAAACUGUGAUGUAAAUUAGGACAUCAUGGAUGGUGCAAAGCUGUCACACUGUGGUGUAAAGACUUUUUUUGUUUUUUAAUAAAUAAAUACACCAGCAUGAUGAACAUGGUUCUGGCCUAGCAGACUGAUAGACAGGAUAGUGACACUACAAUAUUUUAACCUUGUGUGAUCAAGAUUCCACUUUGAGUAUAAGAGAGCGCUCACAUAGGGUUAAAUGGAUCAGACGUCAUAUUUCCGUGGAAGUCGGCCAUAACUAGCUGACACCAGUUAAAUGAACCAAGAUCUUUGUUUUCAUCAUAAGUAGCGUGUGUUUUAAUUACUUAAAGGGAAACUUGAUGACGCGUUUCUUUAGUCACUGUUCCCUUUUGUGAUGUCAGAAUUUGUGUUUUUUAAACAUUGAUCCAUGGUAGCAGGGCCCCUGGCAUCUGCAGGCCCAGAAGAUCAGAGAGCAAAACAUUCUCUUAAACUUGAUUCCAUCGCAGAACUAAGUGCAAUUUGGAAAACUAAAUUGAGAGCGUUAUGCAUCUUAUUUUGAAGGCGAAGGCAUAACACUAAGAUAGUUUUUGGGACAAUGGGUGCAGCACUGUGGAACACAUUUCUGUUGUGAUAUUGACAAUAAACAAUAUGUAGAUCUGAAGUUUUAGGAUCAAUUACAACACUGUUAGUGGAAGAAGAUAUUGUAAAACAUACCUUUUUUUUUCCUCUUUAAUUUGGUGUCACUGUCCCACUUGUUUCCAGUCCUGACUUAAUGUAACCACCAGAUUGUUUCUAUGGUGUGCAGUAGUUGUUUUUGUAGGAUGUCUUGUCCACUAGCUGGUUUUUUUCUACUUCCUGACACUUUGUAAGUCGAUGUGAACUGUAAAAGCUUUUUAACAUUGAAGAUUACAAUCUUUACCAAGAGAGAGCUUCUAGAUUUUUAAAAGGAACAUUUUUAAAAAGGACAAAACAUUUUCUGAAAAUGCUUUAAAAGCUUUUUACAAAGCCAUAAGCUAUUCGUGACAGGCAGGUUUAAGGGGCCGUGCUACUUCGAUACAAUAAAACCGCAAAGCAACCACACUACAGCAACCUGCUGAAACAGAUUUCUAUCUUUUUCAUCAUUGAUCUCUGAUCAGAAGUCCUGAACAUGCUGGAAAGGGUUGUGAUGACAUGGACAGCUUAGUCCCAGACAAAGGAGGUGGCAGUUGUCUGCUGGAAUCGCUAUAAUAGCUGUGCAGUAGUACUAAGCUCCCCAGUAUUAAAACUGCCUAUGUGUUGUCUGCAGAUCUAAUACUGUCCUGUAGACGCUGACGAUGGUGAUUAAAUUAUUGUGAAGUAAUGAUGGAUUGUGGAGAUUUGAAGUGUCAGUUUUCUGUAAAUGAUCUGUUGCUGCAAUAAAAGGUUUGGGACAACAUGGCAAGGACUCCAUUGUUUUUGAUUUAUACAUUUUGUGUAUGACUCCCAUACCAGUCAAGCAUGUAAUACCCUGUGUGACAAAGG